UCAGGAUGAACGCUGGCGGCGUGCCUAACACAUGCAAGUCGAACGGGACUAUCAAGUGAUGUUUCGGACUGAACUUUUAGUUUAGUGGCGGACGGGUGAGUAACGCGUGGACAACCUGCCUCUCACUGGGGGAUAGCAGCUGGAAACGGCUGGUAAUACCGCAUGCGUUCAAUGUGCCGCAUGACACAUUGAAGAAAGAUUUAUCGGUGAGAGAUGGGUCCGCGUCUGAUUAGCCAGUUGGCGGGGUAACGGCCCACCAAAGCGACGAUCAGUAGCCGGCCUGAGAGGGCGGACGGCCACAUUGGGACUGAGACACGGCCCAGACUCCUACGGGAGGCAGCAGUGGGGGAUAUUGCACAAUGGGCGCAAGCCUGAUGCAGCGACGCCCGCGUGAGUGAAGAAGUAUUUCGGUAUGUAAAGCUCUAUCAGCAGGGAAGAAAGGCCCGCAAGGGAGAUGACGGUACCUGACUAAGAAGCCCCGGCUAACUACGUGCCAGCAGCCGC
Molecule: ribosomal RNA, 504 nt
Filed under: uncultured bacterium
Lineage: Bacteria
Description: bacterial SSU rRNA
Rfam family: Bacterial small subunit ribosomal RNA
Source: RNAcentral